RNAcentral lists this transfer RNA (86 nucleotides) under Candidatus Aenigmatarchaeota archaeon. RNAcentral describes it as "tRNA-Leu". It matches the Rfam family "tRNA". Rfam says of the family: Transfer RNA (tRNA) molecules are approximately 80 nucleotides in length. The record is from RNAcentral. Lineage: Archaea; Nanobdellati; Candidatus Aenigmatarchaeota.
GCAGGGGUCGAAUAGUCCGGUCAAUUUCGCCAGGCUUAGGACCUGGUUGCUUAGUGCAUGCGUGGGUUCAAAUCCCACCCCCUGCA